This is a long non-coding RNA of Salvia miltiorrhiza (redroot sage), 632 nucleotides long. RefSeq lists it as uncharacterized. NCBI's taxonomy places the organism in Eukaryota, Viridiplantae, Streptophyta, Magnoliopsida, Lamiales, Lamiaceae. The transcript is spliced from 5 exons. The record is from RefSeq and is a predicted model, not a curated record.
AAUUCAAAUUAGAUGUCCUUCUGGAUGAGUUUGUUCUCCUUAAUUCAAAUAUAAAGGCUUUCAGGUAAGCAUCAUCACCUUGAGAGAAUUCUUACAUCUACUUCACUUGUUGCACUAUGUGAUGGUGUGAUUAUUCUCCGUUUUGGGUGCUUUUAGGUUGCACCAGCGGAGCUAGAAGAGUUGCUUCUCACUCAUCUUGAAAUAGUUGAUGCUGCUGUUAUAGGUUAGGGACAGCUUCUAGAGAAACGACGAAUCUAAUGAUUCUUUCAUGUUUCAAGUUAAAUGCUUUUGAGUAUCUUAACCUUCCAUUUACAUCCUCUAUAGAAGAUGUGAAAAGACAAUAUUGUAAGGUCUAGCUAACUAAAGCUCACAACUGUUACUCGAUCAGCAAGAGAGGGAUUAUAGGUUAAUGCUGCAAGAGAUUGACAUGUUACAUGGAGAAGUUCUUGCCUGCUGAUAUGGCUUAUGAAAGUUUAUUGGAAAUAUUAUGAUGUGUGGGUAUUGUAUGUAAGAUUGUCAUUUGAAAGAUACUAUUAUGGUGUACGUAGCAUUUUAGAUGUUUGUUAUGAUGUUGGGAGAUGUUGUAAAAGAAUGGAACUCAUUUGUAGAUGUUGGAUGAUUUGUUAUUUUCA